GAUGAGAACGCAGCGAAAUGCGAUAAGUAAUGUGAAUUGCAGAAUUCAGUGAAUCAUCGAAUCUUUGAACGCACAUUGCGCCCUCUGGUAUUCCGGGGGGCAUGCCUGUUCGAGCGUCAUUAUAACCACUCAAGCUCUCGCUUGGUAUUGGGGCUCGCGGUUCCGCGGCCCCUAAAAUCAGUGGCGGUGCCUGUCGGCUCUACGCGUAGUAAUACUCCUCGCGAUUGAGUCCGGUAGGUCUACUUGCCAGCAACCCCCAAUUUUUACAGGUUGACCUCGGAUCAGGUAGGGAUACCCGCUGAACUUAAGCAUAUCAAUAAGCGGAGGA
This 328-nucleotide unclassified non-coding RNA is filed under the name soil metagenome. Its description in RNAcentral is "partial contains 5.8S ribosomal RNA, internal transcribed spacer 2, and large subunit ribosomal RNA". The stretch from base 5 to 119 matches the Rfam family "5.8S ribosomal RNA", at positions 40 to 154 of the family's 154-position model. The record is from RNAcentral.